CAGUGGGGAAUAUUGCACAAUGGGCGCAAGCCUGAUGCAGCCAUGCCGCGUGUAUGAAGAAGGCCUUCGGGUUGUAAAGUACUUUCAGCGGGGAGGAAGGCGAUAAGGUUAAUAACCUUGUCGAUUGACGUUACCCGCAGAAGAAGCACCGGCUAACUCCGUG
RNAcentral lists this ribosomal RNA (163 nucleotides) under uncultured bacterium. Its description in RNAcentral is "partial 16S ribosomal RNA". It matches the Rfam family "Bacterial small subunit ribosomal RNA", at positions 352 to 507 of the family's 1533-position model. The record is from RNAcentral.